CUAGAUAGUUGGCUUGUCGCUGUUAACUUUUAGUUAAUAGAGGAAAGUCCGGGCUCCAUAAAGACACGGUGCCAGUUAAUGACUGGCAAGGGUGACCUUAGGGAUAGUGCCACAGAAAAUAAACCGCCUUAUCAAGGCAAGGGUGAAAAGGUGUGGUAAGAGCACACCGGUUUUUUGGUAACAAAAAACGCAUGGUAAACCCCACUGGGAGCAAGGCUAAAUAGAGAUAACAUUGUGCUAAUUUAUUAGUACUAAAAACCGUCUUUAGUUCGUUAUCUGGGUUAGCUGCUUGAGUCUAAGCGUGAGUUUAGACCUAGAGAAAUGACUGCUUUAAUGACAGAACCCGGCUUACAGACUAUCUAGCAAA
Molecule: RNase P RNA, 367 nt
Filed under: Candidatus Pelagibacteraceae bacterium
Lineage: Bacteria; Pseudomonadati; Pseudomonadota; Alphaproteobacteria; Candidatus Pelagibacterales; Candidatus Pelagibacteraceae
Description: RNase P RNA component class A
Rfam family: Bacterial RNase P class A
About the family: Ribonuclease P (RNase P) is a ubiquitous endoribonuclease, found in archaea, bacteria and eukarya as well as chloroplasts and mitochondria. Its best characterised activity is the generation of mature 5'-ends of tRNAs by cleaving the 5'-leader elements of precursor-tRNAs. Cellular RNase Ps are ribonucleoproteins.
Source: RNAcentral